GCAGCCGCGGUAAUACGGAGGAUGCGAGCGUUAUCCGGAUUUAUUGGGUUUAAAGGGAGCGUAGGUGGUUUAUUAAGCAAGCUGUGAAAUACUGCCGCUCAACGGCAGCCGUGCAGUUUGAACUGGUAGACUUGAGUGUACAUGAGGGAAGUGGAAUUCGUGGUGUAGCGGUGAAAUGUUUAGAUAUCACGAAGAACUCCAAUUGCGAAGGCAGCUUCCUAGGGUACAACUGACACUGAGGCUCGAAAGUGCGGGUAUCGAACAGGAUUAGAUACCCC
RNAcentral lists this ribosomal RNA (278 nucleotides) under uncultured Rikenellaceae bacterium. RNAcentral's name for it is "partial 16S ribosomal RNA". It matches the Rfam family "Bacterial small subunit ribosomal RNA", at positions 511 to 788 of the family's 1533-position model. Lineage: Bacteria; Pseudomonadati; Bacteroidota; Bacteroidia; Bacteroidales; Rikenellaceae. The record is from RNAcentral.